This is a long non-coding RNA of Hirundo rustica (Barn swallow), 1455 nucleotides long. RefSeq lists it as uncharacterized. The record is from RefSeq and is a predicted model, not a curated record. Lineage: Eukaryota; Metazoa; Chordata; Aves; Passeriformes; Hirundinidae. The transcript has 4 exons.
AAGUGAUGCUUUCUGUUUUGUUUCCAGAUUGAAAAUGGAGUUGCUGAGAUAAGUUUUAACAGUAAGAAAGCAGCAAGUUCUCUAGGGUUUGACAGUCUGGAAGCACUGGACGGGUCCUAUUUCUAUAUUGUGGCAUCAGUGUUGGAGUCUAUGGCUCUAUUUUAGGAACCCUGGAAAAGCAAGCCCUUCUUCACGAGGAACCGCUUUGUCUUGAAAGUCAAUGUGUCUCGCAAGAGGUGCUGCAAAGGGUGUCUGUGGGCAUGGCAGCCGGGGAAAGGUGCUGGGAAGGAGCUGCUCAGAAAUCCAGAAGCAGCGGUGGAUUGGGAGCUGGGGGUCCUGCCUCGGUCCCACCCUCUUGGACACUCUGGGUCAAGGGAGCUGGCAAAAAAGGAGAGAGCCACUAGGAAGCGAAGCCGCCCGAAGGCCUUUUCCCAGGCCAGGGUUCCUGCUUUUCUCUCUGACUCCUGGAUAAUUGCUUGAGUGUAACCAGCGAGUGUCCGUUUGAUUUCCUGCCUUUUCCACUAAAUCCUUGCCUUCAGCUGGAGUGUGUUCCUGGUGUCAUCCUCCUCCUCCUGCAUGGAUUUGUAAGUAAAGUUCCUGACUUCUGCCCCACUGAAUUUUGUUCUUCCAGCAAUUGUGGCUCUCUCGCUCCACUGAAACUUCCCCGCUCUGCCGAGAGUCUCAGAUGUCAAAUCCAAGUAAGACUGGAGUUUCUUUGGAUUGCUACUCGCCCAAAAUACAGAUAAUUCUUGGGGAAGUGUAAGCUGACAUGUUUAGUUCUCACUUGCCUUUAAAAUCAGAGCAGAGGAGGCAGAUUUUAAAUCAUCCUUCCAUGAACUUCCACCAACCUCCUCACUGUUCCAAAAGUUUUCAGUGUUAGACAUUCCCAAGCUUGUUUUCCAGGCAAGCUGGGAUUUGGGUGUUCUUCCUUCCUUUUAUUUCAUGGUUUUCCUCUCUCUGAUUUGAGUGAGGGGAUAUUUAUUGCAAAUGCCGGUUUUCCAUCCCAACUGGCAUUUUUGUACAUCUUAGGGCCCAUUUCCAAGGAAAUUUGCCAAAAGAGUGUCAGUAAAUCGGCAUUGUGGAGCACCAUCUCUGCAGAAUGUUGUAAAUUCCCAGGAAAACUUGCUGAGUGUUUAAUUGCCGUCAUGACUCUCUCUGUAAAGUUCAAUUUACUGCAUUUUGAAUGACACCAAUCCCACGAAUACUUAAAUCCUGGCCUAAUUGCUGUUGCUUGGACACAAGGGGCAGGUUCUUUCCUGCCUUGGCACAGUUGGAUGUUCAUCCAAAGUGAGGUUCCCGCUCAAAUAGAAUUGGUUUCCAAGCAAAACUGGGAAUUGUCUAAAAACCUUCUUGUCUGGGAGGCACUGGGUUUGUUUUCCCCAUCCCUGUGAAGUGCAGGAUACUGCUGGAGCUGUGUUAGGCAGUGGCAGGAGAGGAGAGCUGCAUUUUUUUUGU